GUCUACGGCCAUGCUACCCUGAACAAGCCCGAUCCCCUCUGAUCUUGGAAGCUAAGCAGGGUUGGGCCUGGUUAGUAUUUGGAUGGGAGACCAGCUAGGAAGACCUGGUGCUGCAGGCA
Molecule: non-coding RNA, 119 nt
Organism: Pteropus alecto (black flying fox)
Lineage: Eukaryota; Metazoa; Chordata; Mammalia; Chiroptera; Pteropodidae
Source: Rfam